UAGUGUGAUUGCAUUUAUUCUUAUAAAUGUACAGAGCUGUAGAAGUGCAAGCCAAGAGUUCUAUAGAGUAGUACAUAAACACCAUAUGGUACCAUUCCUGCUGGGAGGUAAGCCUGGAUACACCCCUCUCCUCAGGAAACUGUCACCUGCAGAACACACAGCACUCAGAAUUAAGGCAGUUUGGCCCUGGGCACAUUGGUGGUAUUUUGGUCUCUACUCACCUUCCACAGCCACCUCCUAGCACACACUGGGUUCCUCUACCCGUGUCGCUGUCUCUCUUUACACUGUGCUACACUUGAUCCCUUUCCACAUGUGCACUUCACCUCUCAGACACAAGAAAGGCCUGGACAUGGUCUCUGCAGAUGUGGAAGGGGUUCUGGAUGGAAAUGUUCUUCAGCUCUACAAGCAUUUGCA
RNAcentral lists this small RNA (414 nucleotides) under Pongo abelii (Sumatran orangutan). RNAcentral describes it as "processed transcript". The record is from RNAcentral. Lineage: Eukaryota; Metazoa; Chordata; Mammalia; Primates; Hominidae.